AAGACUAUAGACCUGCGGAGUACCUGCGGAAGGAUCAUUAUCGUAUUGUAACAAUUGGGGGGGCCACCGUGGGCUGUCGCUGACCCUUUGAAAGGGGGGUCGUGCACGCCCCCAUAGUGUCAUCCUCAUACAAUCCAACUCAUCUCUGUGCAUCACCGCGUGGGUUCCUUUCUGGGUCGAGUCAGACUGGCUCAGAAAAAAGGGGCUUGCGUUUUCCAUACAAAUACCCUUAUAAAUCCA
RNAcentral lists this unclassified non-coding RNA (240 nucleotides) under soil metagenome. RNAcentral's name for it is "partial contains 5.8S ribosomal RNA, internal transcribed spacer 2, and large subunit ribosomal RNA". The record is from RNAcentral.